CAUAAUCAUUAGCUCUUUUAAUUGGAAGCUCGUAUGAAUGGUUAAACAAAAGAGAUUCUGUCUGCUUCUUUAAAAUUUGAAUUUAACUUUUAAGUGAAAAGGCUUAGAUCUAUCAAAGGGACGAUAAGACCCUAUAAAGCUUUAUAAAUAAUCAAGGUUUAAUGAAUUAGAAAAUAAAAAAAAAUUUUUAUUAUUUAUUGUGUUGGGGCGACACGGAUAUAAAUUAGAUAACUGUCAGAGAAAAUAACAUAGUAUACAUGAAAGGUAAAAUGAUCCUUAAUAAAGAUUAUAAGACAAAGUUACUUUAGGGAUAACAGCGUUAUUUUUUUUGAGAGCCCAUAUCGAAAAAAAAGUUUGCGACCUCGAUGUUGAAUCAUAAAAUCUUUAUAAUGCAGCAGUUAUAAGAG
Molecule: ribosomal RNA, 407 nt
Filed under: Microphrys antillensis
Lineage: Eukaryota; Metazoa; Arthropoda; Malacostraca; Decapoda; Majidae
Description: partial 16S ribosomal RNA
Rfam family: Archaeal large subunit ribosomal RNA
Source: RNAcentral